Molecule: ribosomal RNA, 455 nt
Filed under: uncultured bacterium
Lineage: Bacteria
Description: bacterial SSU rRNA
Rfam family: Bacterial small subunit ribosomal RNA
Source: RNAcentral
UACGGGAGGCAGCAGUGGGGAAUAUUGCACAAUGGGCGCAAGCCUGAUGCAGCCAUGCCGCGUGUAUGAAGAAGGCCUUCGGGUUGUAAAGUACUUUCAGUCGUGAGGAAGGUGUUAAGGUUAAUAACCUUAGCAAUUGACGUUAGCGACAGAAGAAGCACCGGCUAACUCCGUGCCAGCAGCCGCGGUAAUACGGAGGGUGCGAGCGUUAAUCGGAAUUACUGGGCGUAAAGGGCACGCAGGCGGUUAAUUAAGUUGGAUGUGAAAUCCCCCGGGCUUAACCCUGGGAAUGGCAUUCAAGACUGGUUAGCUAGAGUCUUGUAGAGGGGGUAGAAUUCCAUGUGUAGCGGUGAAAUGCGUAGAGAUGUGGAGGAAUACCGGUGGCGAAGGCGGCCCCUGGACAAAGACUGACGCUCAUGUGCGAAAGCGUGGGGAGCAAACAGGGAUUAGAUACC